Bactrocera dorsalis (oriental fruit fly) is the source of this 864-nucleotide long non-coding RNA. RefSeq lists it as uncharacterized. Lineage: Eukaryota; Metazoa; Arthropoda; Insecta; Diptera; Tephritidae. The transcript is spliced from 2 exons. The record is from RefSeq and is a predicted model, not a curated record.
UUUGUUUUCGCAAAUGUACACACCUACAUACAUACAAUACAAAUCUACAUGUGUGCCUACUUGUAAAUAAAUUUAAAAAUGCCGAAAAUGUGUGGGUGGGCGACGAACUAACGGAGAAAUUAAAGUCCAAUGCCAACUCCAGAUUGUUUCAGUGGUAGGAAGAUGAAAACGUUUUUACAAUUCACUAUUUGUAUCUUUACAGCUCCAUAUGUACAUAUGCACAUGUAUGUAAGUACACGUAGCCAUGUAAAUAUGUAUAUUCACUUUUUGAUACCAUUUCAUGACUCCGACCACUGGGCGACUCGUUAGGCAAGUGCAGGAGAUCGCACUUUGAGGCCCAGUCUCUCUUUUGAGGAAAACGAACAAAUACAGGAGAGACUUGACAAGCAAGUACUUAUGCAUACUGCAAAAAUGUACAAACGUAUACAUAUGUAUGUCUUCUAUACGUACAAAACAAAACAAAUAUUUAAGUGUAUGUAGCUAAAAAUAUGUAAAUACAUACAUAUGUACAUAUGUAUGCUUAUAUCAUAAAUCUAGAUAUGCAAUUUUGACACUGUUUGUAUUGUUUGGUAAUAUUUUUUUUCGUAAAAUACCACUUAGUCGAAACUUAGUGCAUAUAAAAAUUUAGAACUAUUACCAUCCUUCCUGUGCUAUGGUAAUGUUUCUUCUUGAAAGCAGUGCCACGAUUCAUGGAUUGAACGCUCUGAAUAAUAUCAGCAAUUCUUAAAUGACGACAAGGGUAGAAAUCAUGGCGAUGAGGACACGGCCUCUUUUUUCCCCCCUUUUCUUCAAGGACGCAUAACUCGAUGAAAAAAAAUUUUUUUUUUUUGAAAUUUAAUUUGUGUACUCUUCUAAGUUUAAUAA